GACGAACGCUGGCGGCGUGCUUCAUACAUGCAAGUCAAACGAGAAGCUGACUUCGGUCAGUGGAAAGUGGCGGACGGGUGAGUAAUAUGUAGGAAAUCUGCCUUUAGGAGGGGGACAACAGAGGGAAACUUCUGCUAAUACCCCAUAUGAGCGUAGCUGAAAUGCUAUUCUUGAAAACUCCGGUGCCUAAAGAUGAGCCUGCAUCUGAUUAGCUAGUUGGUAGUGUAAUGGACUACCAAGGCGACGAUCAGUAGCUGGUUUGAGAGGAUGAUCAGCCACAAUGGGACUGAGACACGGCCCAUACUCCUACGGGAGGCAGCAGUAGGGAAUUGUGCGCAAUGGGCGAAAGACUGACGCAGCAACGCCGCGUGAACGAUUAAGCCCUUCGGGGUGUAAAGUUCUGUCAGUGGGGACGAAACUUGACGGUACCCACAGAGGAAGCACCGGCUAACUCCGUG
This 458-nucleotide ribosomal RNA is filed under the name uncultured bacterium. Its description in RNAcentral is "partial 16S ribosomal RNA". It matches the Rfam family "Bacterial small subunit ribosomal RNA", at positions 28 to 507 of the family's 1533-position model. The record is from RNAcentral.